CAUACAGAACAGGAUGGCGGCGCUUUGGUCAGAUUAUAACAUUCCCCACUGGUUUUUGUGGCCAAGUCAAAUCAUUGACUCAGUGCUUGAUCUGAUCUAG
Molecule: long non-coding RNA, 100 nt
Organism: Octodon degus (degu)
Lineage: Eukaryota; Metazoa; Chordata; Mammalia; Rodentia; Octodontidae
Exons: 3
Source: RefSeq, a predicted model, not a curated record